This 229-nucleotide ribosomal RNA is filed under the name uncultured bacterium. Its description in RNAcentral is "partial 16S ribosomal RNA". It matches the Rfam family "Bacterial small subunit ribosomal RNA", at positions 568 to 796 of the family's 1533-position model. The record is from RNAcentral.
CGUGUAGGCGGCCGAUCAAGUCGGAUGUGAAAUCUCUCGGCUCAACCGAGAAACUGCAUUCGAUACUGGUUAGCUAGAGUGCGAGAGGGGUGAGUGGAACUCCAGGUGUAGCGGUGAAAUGCGUAGAUAUCUGGAGGAACGCCGGUGGCGAAAGCGACUCACUGGCUCGCAACUGACGCUGAGGCGCGAAAGCUAGGGGAGCGAACAGGAUUAGAUACCCUGGUAGUCC